RNAcentral lists this long non-coding RNA (1822 nucleotides) under Diabrotica virgifera virgifera (western corn rootworm). Its description in RNAcentral is "uncharacterized LOC126889897". The record is from RNAcentral. Lineage: Eukaryota; Metazoa; Arthropoda; Insecta; Coleoptera; Chrysomelidae.
UUUUAUAGCAGUUUGGUUUUAAAUUUGACAGUUCUGUUUUCUCAAGUCAAAAAUCUUAACCUUACUUUUACAAGUGAUUAGGAUUAUUAUUAUUAUUUUAUUUACAUGUAAAUUGAAACAAUAAAUAUUGUGCUGUGUCAUAAUUUCAAACUCAUUAUGUUGCAGUCUUUUCCAGUUGAUAAAAUUGCAAUUCAAAAACUUUUAGAUUUGCACUGUAUGGAUGGCACAGGAAGAGAACAAGAACAUGAAACAUCUUAUUAUGAAUGUAUAUGUAUGUGAUCCUCAAAAAAUUAUUUUACAAAACAAGAUAGAGAAAGAGCUUUAAAAUCCCAAGGAUCCUGCAAAAUGUUUAUUUGGUGUACUAGUCGAAUAAUAGUAUCUAAAAAUAUUGAAACUAUUUUAAAACACAUUACGGGCAUGAGGAUGAUAUAGAGCACUUACAUAAAUACCAAAAUCAGAUAAAUAUCUCUUCAAAGUUUAUUUUGAGACUCUUCAAAAAUUAAACUUCAGACUGUUCAGGAUAGCAUAAUAGCAUAGGAGGCGAAUUAAAAAGAAUUGAUUUACUUACAAGAAAAGAUAUCACAAACAUUAAACUCUCUUAUGGCAUUGAUUUGAAAGAUGGGUAUAUGUACAAUGAUGAUGCAACCAGUGUUUAUUUUUGGGUUGAAUGCUUACAGACUCAUGUCCAAUAUUAUUUUACAAACAACAGGGCAUACUAAUGGAUAUUCAUUCUGAAUUUAACAUUUAUGAUUUUUGUCUUAUUUCCUUAAUAUUGUGCCAAAAGGAAAUGUUAAUUAAGUUUGGUAAAUCCUUUAUAGCAAUCGAUGGAACUCAUGGGCUCAAUUUCUAUGACUUUGAACUUAUUGACAGUAUUAGUAAAAGAUGAAUUUGGGAAUGGAUUUUGUACUGCUUUCUUAUUUUCAAAUAGAAAAGAUACCUACUUUAAUUUACCAAUUUUUUUAAAUACAUGUCUGUGUUGGUAUUAUAUGUAUAGUCAAAUGUUUUCAUAUCAGGCAUAAGCGAUACCUUUUACAAUGCCUCGUCAAAUGUAAUGGGUAUUGCUCCUAAUAGACUGUUAAGUGUCUGGCACAUAGAUAGGGCAUGGUAAGUAAAUCUUAAUAAAAUAUCUGAUUCUGAAAAAAAUACUAUUAUGUAUACAAGAUGUAUUAAUGAUGGUUUAGAGAGUAUUAAUAGCUUUUUGGGUAGACUUCUAAGUGAUGUAGAUACAUACAAUUUUAGUAAGUAUUUCCAGUAGAACUACUGCAAUAACAUCCAACAAUGGGCCUAUUGUUAUAGGAAGGGGUUGUGGAAUUAAUACCAAUAUGACCAUUCAAAAUUUUCAUAAAAUUUUGGAUAAAAGGGUAUCCAUUAGUUGUUAUCAGUUAAGUUUAAAACUUGGCACUCAUGGAGAGCUAUACCAUAAUAUAUAAUAGGUAUAUCUCAUAAUAUUACAUCUCAUAUUGUUCACUACAGUAGUAAUGAGUGAGCCUGCAUACACAGAACCAUAAUAAUAUAUUAUAGUUCGUGUAUGCAGGCUCAGUUUGGUGCCCAUCUCGAACAAGCUCCACUUGGCUGGUACCACAUACUUAAAUCAUUUAUUUAGUUACACAGUACUACUCACAUACCUUAUGUGUCGUCAGUACCUUCCGUAAAACCUUCGUGAUGCUACCCAUACGUCAUGGCCACUGAAUGUGUUAAAGCUUGUUAAUGUAGGAGAGUUAUACUAAAAUAUAUAUCUUAUAUUAUAUUGCCUUAAAUAGAAAAAAUAUCUUAUUUAAAUUGUAUCCAUGUAAGUUUUGAUUUAAUGAAAUAAACCAUUUAA